UUAUGUCGAAGUAUCAGUUUUCCAUUAAAAACCCUAAUUAUUUUACUCGUAUAUUCUUCUUCUUAUUAUUAUUGUGAUGUAAUGUAAGAAGAAGAUGUAUUUAGUAGUGUUAAUUAACUGUGCUGACAUGUUACAUUUAUUAUAACAAAAACUUAAUUAUUUGUCUUCUCAUCUGUGGUGAUGCAUAGUUUCACUGGGGGCUUGUUGAUCAGGUGAACUCAUAGCGGCAGUUGAACUUAAGAUGUGUACUAAGCCGAUGAAAACUCCUGGCCCUGGAUAUAAAUACAUUUUCCAUGAUAGUAUAUUGUAAACUGAUGUCAUUUGCUUGGGUGGUUGGAAAUGGCUAUCGAGGCUAUUCAAUUCCGUGUUUAGAGCUUGCAGCUGUGGAAUUUGUUGCAGUAGAUUAGCAAAUCAAUCCCCAUUCCCUGUUAGUAUCUGUAAUGUGAAAUUAAGUAUGGUUAAUUCAUCUGUUUAUACUCUAUAUAUCAAUGUUGUGUCUAGCUAUAGCUGCAAACAGAUUACCAACAUUUGAAAGCAUCUGUUUAUACUCUAUA
This is a long non-coding RNA of Erigeron canadensis, 554 nucleotides long. RefSeq lists it as uncharacterized. The transcript has 3 exons. NCBI's taxonomy places the organism in Eukaryota, Viridiplantae, Streptophyta, Magnoliopsida, Asterales, Asteraceae. The record is from RefSeq and is a predicted model, not a curated record.